UUGGUUAAGUUAGAAAGGGCGCACGGUGGAUGCCUUGGCACUAGGAGCCGAAGAAGGACGGGACUAACACCGAUAUGCUUUGGGGAGCUGUACGUAAGCGUUGAUCCAGAGAUUUCCGAAUGGGGGAACCCACUAUCUUUAGUCGGAUAGUAUCCUUACGUGAAUACAUAGCGUGAGGAAGGCAGACCCAGGGAACUGAAACAUCUAAGUACCUGGAGGAAGAGAAAGAAAAAUCGAUUUCCUGAGUAGCGGCGAGCGAAACGGAAAGAGCCCAAACCAAGAAGCUUGCUUCUUGGGGUUGUAGGACACUCUAUACGGAGUUACAAAAGAAAGUUAUAAAUGAAGCGGUCUGGAAAGGCCCGCCAAAGACGGUAACAGCCCGGUAGUUGAAAUGGCUUUCCCUCCAGAGUGGAUCCUGAGUACGGCGGAACACGUGAAAUUCCGUCGGAAUCCGGGAGGACCAUCUCCCAAGGCUAAAUACUCCCUAGUGACCGAUAGUGAACCAGUACCGUGAGGGAAAGGUGAAAAGCACCCCGGAAGGGGAGUGAAACAGUUCCUGAAACCGUGUGCCUACAAGUAGUUAGAGCCCGUUAAUGGGUGAUAGCGUGCCUUUUGUAGAAUGAACCGGCGAGUUACGAUUUGUUGCAAGGUUAAGCGGAAAAAGCGGAGCCGUAGCGAAAGCGAGUCUGAAUAGGGCGCAUAAGUAACAGGUCGUAGACCCGAAACCAGGUGAUCUACCCAUGUCCAGGAUGAAGGUAAGGUAAUACUUACUGGAGGUCCGAACCCACGCACGUUGAAAAGUGCGGGGAUGAGGUGUGGGUAGCGGAGAAAUUCCAAUCGAACUUGGAGAUAGCUGGUUCUCUCCGAAAUAGCUUUAGGGCUAGCCUCGAGGUAAAGAGUCAU
This 903-nucleotide ribosomal RNA is filed under the name Listeria monocytogenes. Its description in RNAcentral is "partial 23S ribosomal RNA". It matches the Rfam family "Bacterial large subunit ribosomal RNA", at positions 1 to 898 of the family's 2925-position model. Lineage: Bacteria; Bacillati; Bacillota; Bacilli; Caryophanales; Listeriaceae. The record is from RNAcentral.